GCCCGCGUGGCGCAAUCGGCUAGCGCGUCAGACUUUUAAUCUGAAUGUUGCGAGUUCGAGUCUCGCCGUGGGCG
Molecule: non-coding RNA, 74 nt
Organism: Parachaetomium inaequale
Lineage: Eukaryota; Fungi; Ascomycota; Sordariomycetes; Sordariales; Chaetomiaceae
Source: the annotation of a GenBank genome assembly